This 374-nucleotide RNase P RNA is filed under the name bacterium. RNAcentral's name for it is "RNase P RNA component class A". It matches the Rfam family "Bacterial RNase P class A". Rfam says of the family: Ribonuclease P (RNase P) is a ubiquitous endoribonuclease, found in archaea, bacteria and eukarya as well as chloroplasts and mitochondria. Its best characterised activity is the generation of mature 5'-ends of tRNAs by cleaving the 5'-leader elements of precursor-tRNAs. The record is from RNAcentral.
CAAGUAGGACAGGUGGUCGGGCCUGAUCAUGCAAUUCAGGUCAGGAAAGUCCGGGCUCCACAGGGCAGGAUGGUCGCUAACGGCGACGGGGAGUGAUCCUACGGAGAGUGCCACAGAAAACACACAGCCGAUGGAGCUUGUAACUCACAGGCAAAGGUGAAAAGGUGCGGUAAGAGCGCACCAGCAGGAGGAGUGAUCUUCCUGGCUUGGUAAACCCCAUCCGGAGCAAGGUCAAGUAAAGGGAAGAUUGGGCGGCCCGCUCAUUCCCUGGGUAGACCGCUUGAGGCCUAUGGCAACAUAGGUCCUAGAUAGAUGACCACCAAUUCAGGAUUUAUUCUCUGGAUACAGAACCCGGCUUAUGGCCUACUUGUCCU